GUUGUAUAGUUAAGUAACUAAGCGUACAAGGUGGAUGCCUUGGCAAUCAGAGGCGAAGAAGGACGUGCUAAUCUGCGAAAAGCUUGGAUGAGUCGAUAAGAGGCGUUUAAUCCAAGAUAUCCGAAUGGGGAAACCCAGUAGAUGAAGAAUCUACUAUCAACAAGUGAAUUCAUAGCUUGUUGAGGCAAACCGGGAGAACUGAAACAUCUAAGUACCCCGAGGAAAAGAAAUCAACCGAGAUUUCGUCAGUAGCGGCGAGCGAAAGCGAAAGAGCCAGUAAGUGAUAGCAGUAUAGUGAGGAGAAUGUGUUGGGAAGCACAAUCAAAGAGGGUGAUAAUCCCGUAUCUAAAAACCAUAUUGUGGUACUAAGCUAACGAGAAGUAGGGCGGGACACGUGAUAUCCUGUUUGAAGAAGGGGGGACCAUCCUCCAAGGCUAAAUACUCCUGAUUGACUGAUAGUGAACCAGUACUGUGAAGGAAAGGCGAAAAGAACCCCGGUGAGGGGAGUGAAAUAGAACCUGAAACCUUGUACGUACAAGCAGUGGGAGCCCCAUCACUUAAUCCGAUUGGAAGGUGAUGAAAAGCAACCGCACUUAAACAAUGGUAAGAGGAGCGAAGCGAGUCAAACCACCCAAAAGAAGCAGUGGGAUUAAGUGAUGGGGUGACUGCGUACCUUUUGUAUAAUGGGUCAGCGACUUAUAUUUUGUAGCGAGGUUAACUGAAUAGGGGAGCCGAAGGGAAACCGAGUCUUAACUGGGCGAGUAGUUGCAAGGUAUAGACCCGAAACCCGGUGAUCUAGCCAUGGGCAGGUUGAAGGUUGGGUAACACUAACUGGAGGACCGAACCGACUAAUGUUGAAAAAUUAGCGGAUGACUUGUGGCUGGGGGUGAAAGGCCAAUCAAACCGGGAGAUAGCUGGUUCUCCCCGAAAUCUAUUUAGGUAGAGCCUUGAGGUGACACCUUUGGGGGUAGAGCACUGUUUCGGCUAGGGGGCCAUCCCGGCUUACCAACCCGAUGCAAACUACGAAUACCAAAGAGUGAUACUCAGGAGACACACGGCGGGUGCUAACGUCCGUCGUGGAGAGGGAAACAACCCAGACCGCCAGCUAAGGUCCCCAAGUCUAUAUUAAGUGGGAAACGAAGUGGGAAGGCUUAGACAGCUAGGAUGUUGGCUUAGAAGCAGCCAUCAUUUAAAGAAAGCGUAAUAGCUCACUAGUCGAGUCGGCCUGCGCGGAAGAUGUAACGGGGCUGAAAUAUAGCACCGAAGCUGCGGCAUCAGAAUUUAUUCUGUUGGGUAGGGGAGCGUUGUGUAAGCGGAAGAAGGUUCAUCGAGAGGUGGGCUGGACGUAUCACAAGUGCGAAUGCUGACAUAAGUAACGAUAAAACGGGUGAAAAACCCGUUCGCCGGAAGACCAAGGGUUCCUGUCCAACGUUAAUCGGGGCAGGGUGAGUCGGCUCCUAAGGCGAGGCUGAAAAGCGUAGUCGAUGGGAAACAGGUUAAUAUUCCUGUACUUGGUAAAGCUGCGAUGUGGGGACGGAGUAGGUUAGGUUAUCGCACUGUUGGAUAUGUGCGUUUAAGUUGGUAGGUGGGAAGUUUAGGCAAAUCCGGGCUUCCUUAACACAGAGAGAUGAUGACGAGGCUCUACGGAGCUGAAGUAACUGAUACCACACUUCCAGGAAAAGCCACUAAGCGAAAGGCUUUACUAAACCGUACUGAAAACCGACACAGGUGGUCAGGUAGAGAAUACUCAGGCGCUUGAGAGAACUCGGGUGAAGGAACUAGGCAAAAUAGCACCGUAACUUCGGGAGAAGGUGCGCCGGCGUAGAUUGUAAGGGCUAGCCCCUGAAGGUUGAACCGGUCGAAGAUACCAGCUGGCUGCAACUGUUUAUUAAAAACACAGCACUCUGCAAACACGAAAGUGGACGUAUAGGGUGUGAUGCCUGCCCGGUGCUGGAAGGUUAAUUGAUGGUGUAAUCGCAAGAGAAGCACCUGAUCGAAGCCCCAGUAAACGGCGGCCGUAACUAUAACGGUCCUAAGGUAGCGAAAUUCCUUGUCGGGUAAGUUCCGACCUGCACGAAUGGCAUAAUGAUGGCCAGGCUGUCUCCACCCGAGACUCAGUGAAAUUGAAAUCGCCGUGAAGAUGCGGUGUACCCGCGGCUAGACGGAAAGACCCCGUGAACCUUUACUAUAGCUUGACACUGAACAUUGAAUUUUGAUGUGUAGGAUAGGUGGGAGACUUAGAAGUAGUCACGCCAGUGAUUAUGGAGUCGACCUUGAAAUACCACCCUUUAACGUUUGAUGUUCUAACGAAGAUGACGAAACGUGGUCUCGGACAGUGUCUGGUGGGUAGUUUGACUGGGGCGGUCUCCUCCCAAAGCGUAACGGAGGAGCACGAAGGUUUGCUAAUCACGGUCGGACAUCGUGAGGUUAGUGCAAUGGUAUAAGCAAGCUUAACUGCGAGACAGACAAGUCGAGCAGGUACGAAAGUAGGUCAUAGUGAUCCGGUGGUUCUGAAUGGAAGGGCCAUCGCUCAACGGAUAAAAGGUACUCCGGGGAUAACAGGCUGAUACCGCCCAAGAGUUCAUAUCGACGGCGGUGUUUGGCACCUCGAUGUCGGCUCAUCACAUCCUGGGGCUGAAGUAGGUCCCAAGGGUAUGGCUGUUCGCCAUUUAAAGUGGUACGCGAGCUGGGUUUAGAACGUCGUGAGACAGUUCGGUCCCUAUCUGCCGUGGGCGUAGGAGAAUUGGUUGGGGCUGCUCCUAGUACGAGAGGACCGGAGUGGACGCACCACUGGUGUUCCGGUUGUGUCGCCAGACGCAUUGCCGGGUAGCUAAGUGCGGAAGAGAUAAGUGCUGAAAGCAUCUAAGCACGAAACUUGCCAAGAGAUGAGUUCUCCCAAUCAAAGAGAUUGUAAGGGUUGUUGUAGACUACGACGUAGAUAGGUCUGGUGUGUAAGUGUAGUGAUACAUUGAGCUAACAGAUACUAAUUGCCCGAGAGGCUUAACUAUACAACGCUCAAG
Molecule: ribosomal RNA, 3020 nt
Filed under: Haemophilus influenzae
Lineage: Bacteria; Pseudomonadati; Pseudomonadota; Gammaproteobacteria; Pasteurellales; Pasteurellaceae
Description: bacterial LSU rRNA
Rfam family: Bacterial large subunit ribosomal RNA
Source: RNAcentral